AAGAAGUUAGUUAAUCUAUAACAUAUAUUUGUCAUAUAUAAAUUAUCCUAGAUACUUCUUU
RNAcentral lists this transfer RNA (61 nucleotides) under Qianguimon aflagellum. Its description in RNAcentral is "tRNA-Asp". The record is from RNAcentral. Lineage: Eukaryota; Metazoa; Arthropoda; Malacostraca; Decapoda; Potamidae.